This 277-nucleotide ribosomal RNA is filed under the name uncultured bacterium. RNAcentral describes it as "partial 16S ribosomal RNA". It matches the Rfam family "Bacterial small subunit ribosomal RNA", at positions 28 to 297 of the family's 1533-position model. The record is from RNAcentral.
GGUUAACGCUGGCGGCGUGCCUGACACAUGCAAGUCGAGCGAGGGCUCGUCUCCCGCAAGGGAGAUGGGUUCCUAGCGGCGAACGGGUGAGUAACACGUGGGCAACCUGUCCUUUCGUGGGGGAUAACUCCGGGAAACCGGGGCUAAUACCGCAUGUCGUCGCCGAUGGCAUCUUCGGCGAAAAAAGCAGCAAUGCGCGAGAGGGUGGGCCCGCGGCCUAUCAGCUAGUCGGUGGGGUAACGGCCUACCGAGGCUUUGACGGGUAGCUGGUCUGAGA